RNAcentral lists this unclassified non-coding RNA (2048 nucleotides) under Dermacentor andersoni. RNAcentral's name for it is "uncharacterized LOC126544667". Lineage: Eukaryota; Metazoa; Arthropoda; Arachnida; Ixodida; Ixodidae. The record is from RNAcentral.
GGCGUCGUUUGCCGGGAGUGCUGUCUGACGCUGUCCAGAAGGCAUAAGGGCACAUAAGCAGACGAUAAAAAAGAAGAUGGCGCCAUCCUCUUGUUGCGCCGUCGUCUGUUGCCGCUGGCGCUGCUUCCCCAUGCUUCUGCUAGCAACGUUUUUACUUAGCGCAGUAAAGGCGGACCGACCUACAAAGUCAACAGUCUACUACAUGGAUGACCUAUGCGGGUCGUCGCAUACGGCUGCCAUCACGGUGGGAGUGGCAGGCCUCGAGUCGGCGGUGGUGCUUCGUGCCACCAAGCACCACAUCGACCAUGGCUUCAACUGCACGGUGAACGUGACCACGAGGGUGGACCGGAGCCUGCUGUACAGCAUCUCGUUCCUGGACUUGCCCAUGACUUGUCUUUCCUACCUGGAGUUGUGGGCGGACCGCCGGGACGCGCAGCGCUUCUGCCGCAACGUGGACGACCCGCGUGGCAAGGAGGCCCACUGGGUGACCGCGCCGCAGCUGCUGGUCCAGCUGGUCACCUCGCGCCACGACUGGAACUACGAGCGCAAGGCCUUCGAGAUCGUGCUCACGUCGUACCGGCAGAGCCUGCACUUCGACGGCUGCUACAAGGGCGAAUACCAGUGCGGCAACAAAUUCUGCAUCUGGCGCGAACUCACUUGCAACAACGAGAACAACUGCGGUGACCUGAGUGACGAGAAUUGCAUGUCGAAGACCCUGGCAGUGGCCGUGACCGUCGCCGCUGGAAUCACGGUGGUUGUACUCAUCUUCACGUUAGUGGCCUACAUCAGGAAGCGUGCUCGAGGGGGACCACACGACUUGUCCCGCACCACGAGCUCCCAGUCGGUUCACAGCGCGGGAUCGGGCAUUUCCGGCGCCUACGACACCACCUACCGACCACUGGUGGGAAGGCACCUGCUCAUGGAGCCGCUCUUGGAGGUGCCCAGCGUGCAGGUCUCUGGCCUUCCCAGCAGGACGUCGUCCGAGGACAACGUGCCGAAAGAGGCCCAGGGUAGCGAGAAGCGACUGAGGCCCUGCAUUCGCUACGACCGGUCCGUGUCGGACCCGAUGUGAAAGACAGAAACGUGCUGCCCUGUCGACAAGAGUGUCUAGAUGGGCUGUUUGGUGGCAGAAAGACACGAUUGUGGAUGAUACGGUACGGUCCACUGUUAAAGAAAACACCUAGCUGGCAGUAGGACAGCAGUCUGGGCAAGUUGGCUUUCUUUCAGGACGAACGUACAAAGAGCGACAAAAUGACCAGAGCAAGAUGUAAACGACACAACCAGCGUUCACUGAGAACUGAAAAUAUUAUUGAAAACAUCGUGUCAUAUAAAGGUAUGUCAAACACGCCGGCUCGUAUCUAAGCCCCGUCACCCUUAGCGUAACGCUUGGAAGAACAAAAUAUGACUAUAAUAUGCGAAAAAAAUCGAUGCAGUGAAAGAUAAGCAGGACGAUGCCAUGAGCAAUUUCGGUGAUAUAGCAAAAGCAGCAGAUGAUGUCUAUAUACUGAACUGUACAUUAGCCCGGGCAGUCACGUACUCUUGAUUGCACACGUAGUUUGGAACGGCGUACAGAAGUUCGACGUGCAAGUAGCGAUAAAGUUAGAAAAUUCUUGCAAGUUAUAUCCAAUGGAAAACUGGUAGGAAAAAAUGGAAUAACAGUUGGUUAGACGAAGAGUAGAGGGGACAUUAUACUCGAAAAGAUUGCGACUGUUUAUUCGCAAUGCGGGAUCAGGGCAAUGCUUCACUCCACUUAAACCAGACAACAGGAUUGCUUUAGGAAGGGGUAUAUAACAAAGAAUCCUAUUCAUGUAAGCAAUCAUGUAAUCGAGAAAUAUGAGGCGCAUAACUAAGUUCUCUAUAUUGCUUUCAUAGAUUAGGAAAAGAUUCCAUUCAACAGAGAUACCAGAAGUCAUCGAGGGGUUACUCAGUCAACAAAUACCGGAGGUAUUCGUGAAUGCCUUAGCAUUUAUGUAUAAAGAUUCCACAACUUCCUUCAUGGUUCACAUAAAGAACGGGACAUUACUGAUUAAGAAGGAAUUCAAGCAAGC